Molecule: non-coding RNA, 31 nt
Filed under: Homo sapiens (human)
Lineage: Eukaryota; Metazoa; Chordata; Mammalia; Primates; Hominidae
Source: RNAcentral
UGACAGGAACAAACUCCUCUGCCCACUCGUC